Cinara cedri is the source of this 1522-nucleotide non-coding RNA. The record is from the annotation of a GenBank genome assembly. Lineage: Eukaryota; Metazoa; Arthropoda; Insecta; Hemiptera; Aphididae.
AUUAGGUAUAUAUAUUAAGAAAAAAGAAAAAAAAAUGGAAGAUGGGUAAACCGGAAACAGUAUUUUCUCAUAUAGAACAUAUGUAUUAUGGGCGUACUAAUAUAUCCGACGCAAUAGAAUACGAGUACGAUACGCGAGUAUAUUGGUGGUACCUAUCCUACACAUAUAAUAUCGGAGUGCCCGGGAGAAAUACACGGUUUUUAUAUAUAUCGUAUAUAAAUCUCGGCGAGACUAUUGUAAAUUGUUUUUUUUUUUUCUCUAGCCGAGAAAAGUGUAUUUCGCAUUUUUUUUUUUUAUAUACAUAUAUCGAAUAUCCGUAUGUAUAUAUAUAUAUAUAUAUAUAUAUAUAUUAUGCGACACACGUACGCGUAGUGUUAUAACAUAUAUAUAUAUGGGUAGGCACGUUAAUAAAAAUAUAUAUGAAAUGCGCGAUACACUUUUGAUUACGGUCUGAGGAAUACAAUUAUUUUCGUAUGCUCGCAUCAAACUUCGCCCACAAGAGUAAAACGGUAACAAUAACGCAUUCCGUAUAACGUACAUAAUAUUACAUAGACGGAUAAAACAUGUGACGUUUGCUUACGGUUACGGGUUAGGUAAGGACAUAAUAUUUUACGAUCACAAUACGUAUGGUAUAUAAGGUAUAAAUAGCACGUGCAUCAUAAUCUAAUAGUUUCACCGGUGGUUCCGCGUUGAAUUUUCAAUAUCAUUUUUUUUCUUCUCGUAUUUUGUCGUUGCCCGUUCGAGAAAUUAAUAAUCUUUUUGUGAAAAACGUAUGCUAUUCGGCGAACAGAUACCUAUUUAGUCCGUUUCAAAUAUUAUACAUUUUCGCCCAGCAAACAGCGUGCGCAAAAAUUCUCUAUAGGCGUUUCGAAUGAUAAUUCGUCUCCCUUCCCGUCUCUCCCAAUAUGCUUGUAUACAUGUUUCAAUAUACAUUUUAAACUUCCAUACGAUAACGGCAUCCGAUCACCUUAACAAAAUAUCGGAUGGGAGAAUUCAACGCGGAGAUAACAUUAUUAUUGAGUGUGAUACCCUGUCUAUGUCUAUGUCUAUGUCGUACGAACAAACGUAAAAAAGACAAUUUCACGUUUAUCAGAGAUAAGAUUGUGCCGUUGGCAGGGCCGGUGUUACGACAUCCGAGGCCCUGGAUAAGUUAAUUUUUGCGAGUUUUUUUUUUUUAUAGCGUAUCACUCCUCUCAUCUUAUAAUUGCGAUAAUAGUGCGGACGUUGUACAGAUACCGUUCUCGUUAUCUGUAUAUUUGAUAAUGGGUCAGUCAGGCAUGGAUUCAGAGGAAAGAUCUGGGAGGGGGGGCAACAAUCUUUUUACAACGAAUACAAGUACAUUGUAAUAUAAUAUAUUGAUAUACAUAUUUGUGGUUGGAAUAUAGUGAUGUCGGAAUCUUUAUAAAAAAAAAUGGAGAAAUAAUAUGUCUGGAGGGGCCUGAGCCUCUAGACCCCCUCCCCUCGAUCCAACCCUGAGAGGUCAGUUCACUCUAACAGUGUUAAAACCAACAGCGCAAUAUCG